AUUGAACGCUGGCGGCAUGCCUUACACAUGCAAGUCGAACGGCAGCGCGGGAGCAAUCCUGGCGGCGAGUGGCGAACGGGUGAGUAAUAUAUCGGAACGUGCCCAUUAGUGGGGGAUAGCCCGGCGAAAGCCGGAUUAAUACCGCAUACGACCUGAGGGUGAAAGCGGGGGGUCGCAAGACCUCGCGCUAUUGCAGCGGCCGAUAUCAGAUUAGCUAGUUGGUGGGGUAAAGGCCUACCAAGGCAACGAUCUGUAGUUGGUCUGAGAGGACGACCAGCCACACUGGGACUGAGACACGGCCCAGACUCCUACGGGAGGCAGCAGUGGGGAAUUUUGGACAAUGGGCGCAAGCCUGAUCCAGCAAUGCCGCGUGCAGGAAGAAGGCCUUCGGGUUGUAAACUGCUUUUGUCAGGGAAGAAAUCCUUUGGGCUAAUACCUCGGAGGGAUGACGGUACCUGAAGAAUAAGCACCGGCUAACUACGUGCCAGCAGCCGCAGUAA
This 500-nucleotide ribosomal RNA is filed under the name uncultured bacterium. RNAcentral describes it as "partial 16S ribosomal RNA". It matches the Rfam family "Bacterial small subunit ribosomal RNA", at positions 30 to 523 of the family's 1533-position model. The record is from RNAcentral.